CUACACACGGCUAGAUCUAACGUCUGUCGUGAAGAGGGAAACAAUCCAGACCGCAAUGUAAGGUCCACACGUCAUGGUUACGAGGGAAACGAUGUGGGAAUGCCCAGACUGCCAGGAUGUUGACUUCGAAGCAGCCAUCAUUUAAAGAAAGCGUAAUAGCUCACGGGUCGAGUCGGCCUGCGCGGAAGAUGUAACGGGGCUAAACCAUGCACCUAAGCUGCGGCAGCGACAAUAUGUGUUGUUUAGUAG
This 249-nucleotide ribosomal RNA is filed under the name Escherichia coli. Its description in RNAcentral is "partial 23S ribosomal RNA". It matches the Rfam family "Bacterial large subunit ribosomal RNA", at positions 982 to 1231 of the family's 2925-position model. The record is from RNAcentral. Lineage: Bacteria; Pseudomonadati; Pseudomonadota; Gammaproteobacteria; Enterobacterales; Enterobacteriaceae.